RNAcentral lists this unclassified non-coding RNA (398 nucleotides) under soil metagenome. Its description in RNAcentral is "partial contains 5.8S ribosomal RNA, internal transcribed spacer 2, and large subunit ribosomal RNA". The stretch from base 1 to 120 matches the Rfam family "5.8S ribosomal RNA", at positions 35 to 154 of the family's 154-position model. The record is from RNAcentral.
GAUGAAGAACGUAGCGAAAUGCGAUACUUGGUGUGAAUUGCAGAAUCCCGUGAACCAUCGAGUCUUUGAACGCAAGUUGCGCCCGAAGCCUCGGCUAAGGGCACGUCUGCCUGGGCGUCACGCAUCGCGUCUCCCCCAAACCGCCAAGGCGGAGGGGAAGGAAGAUGGCUUCCCGUGCCUCACCCGGCGCGGUUGGCCUAAAUUUGGAGCCCGCGGCACUUAGCUCUCGCGGCGAUAGGUGGUGAACAAGGCCUUGGCCGUGCAAACAACCCGCUGCGAAGCUCUAUGUCACGUGCGCUCGUCGGACCCUUUGAAGUUGCCUUCGGUGACUUAAAACCUUUGCGACCCCAGGUCAGGCGGGGCUACCCGCUGAGUUUAAGCAUAUCAAUAAGCGGAGG